GAUGAACGCUGGCGGCGUGCCUAAUACAUGCAAGUCGAGCGAACAGACGAGGAGCUUGCUCCUCUGACGUUAGCGGCGGACGGGUGAGUAACACGUGGAUAACCUACCUAUAAGACUGGGAUAACUUCGGGAAACCGGAGCUAAUACCGGAUAAUAUAUUGAACCGCAUGGUUCAAUAGUGAAAGAUGGUUUUGCUGUCACUUAUAGAUGGAUCCGCGCCGCAUUAGCUAGUUGGUAAGGUAACGGCUUACCAAGGCAACGAUGCGUAGCCGACCUGAGAGGGUGAUCGGCCACACUGGAACUGAGACACGGUCCAGACUCCUACGGGAGGCAGCAGUAGGGAAUCUUCCGCAAUGGGCGAAAGCUUGACGGAGCAACGCCGCGUGAGUGAUGAAGGUCUUCGGAUCGUAAAACUCUGUUAUUAGGGAAGAACAAAUGUGUAAGUAACUAUGCACGUCUUGACGGUACCUAAUCAGAAAGCCACGGCUAACUACGUG
This 497-nucleotide ribosomal RNA is filed under the name uncultured bacterium. RNAcentral's name for it is "partial 16S ribosomal RNA". It matches the Rfam family "Bacterial small subunit ribosomal RNA", at positions 28 to 507 of the family's 1533-position model. The record is from RNAcentral.